RNAcentral lists this ribosomal RNA (151 nucleotides) under Escherichia coli. RNAcentral's name for it is "partial 16S ribosomal RNA". It matches the Rfam family "Bacterial small subunit ribosomal RNA", at positions 418 to 561 of the family's 1533-position model. Lineage: Bacteria; Pseudomonadati; Pseudomonadota; Gammaproteobacteria; Enterobacterales; Enterobacteriaceae. The record is from RNAcentral.
UCGGGUUGUAAAGUACUUUCAGCGGGGAGGAAGGGAGUAAASUUAAUACCUUUGCUCAUUGACGUUACCCGCASAAGAASCACCGGCUAACUCCGUGCCAUCMSCCGCGGUAAUACGGAAGGUGCAAGCGUAAUUCGGAAUUACUGGGCGU